CCUCACCCCCCAACAGCAGGGACCCAUUUGGCUGACAAAGAAAAACAAUUUUCUGAGCUGCCUAUUUAAUAACCCCUCAGCACAGCUAAAUGAUGUCUC
This is a non-coding RNA of Pongo abelii (Sumatran orangutan), 99 nucleotides long. The record is from Rfam. NCBI's taxonomy places the organism in Eukaryota, Metazoa, Chordata, Mammalia, Primates, Hominidae.